GACGAACGCUGGCGGCGUGCUUAACACAUGCAAGUCGAACGGAAAGGCCCUGCUUUUGUGGGGUGCUCGAGUGGCGAACGGGUGAGUAACACGUGAGUAACCUGCCCUUGACUUUGGGAUAACUUCAGGAAACUGGGGCUAAUACCGGAUAGGAGCUCCUGCUGCAUGGUGGGGGUUGGAAAGUUUCGGCGGUUGGGGAUGGACUCGCGGCUUAUCAGCUUGUUGGUGGGGUAGUGGCUUACCAAGGCUUUGACGGGUAGCCGGCCUGAGAGGGUGACCGGCCACAUUGGGACUGAGAUACGGCCCAGACUCCUACGGGAGGCAGCAGUGGGGAAUAUUGCACAAUGGGCGGAAGCCUGAUGCAGCAACGCCGCGUGCGGGAUGACGGCCUUCGGGUUGUAAACCGCUUUCGCCUGUGACGAAGCGUGAGGGACGGUAAUGGGUAAAGAAGCACCGGCUAAUUACGU
RNAcentral lists this ribosomal RNA (467 nucleotides) under uncultured bacterium. RNAcentral describes it as "partial 16S ribosomal RNA". It matches the Rfam family "Bacterial small subunit ribosomal RNA", at positions 28 to 506 of the family's 1533-position model. The record is from RNAcentral.